RNAcentral lists this long non-coding RNA (1258 nucleotides) under Homo sapiens (human). RNAcentral's name for it is "HSALNT0335436". The stretch from base 910 to 979 matches the Rfam family "Small nucleolar RNA SNORD50". Lineage: Eukaryota; Metazoa; Chordata; Mammalia; Primates; Hominidae. The record is from RNAcentral.
GCUGCGCACUUCGGUCUUUUACGUCGGCCUUCGCGAGCGUCUGGGCGGGUGGUAGGUGAGUGGGUAUUGCGGGCUAGUAUCCGAGCAAAAGAUGGUGGCGCAGGCCGAGUUAAGAGCUUUAAUCCUGUGAAGACAUCUUAGUGAAGAGUUUAGAGUGCUGAGAGUUGAAAGCUUGCACGUGGGAAACGUGCGGCCGGACUGCCACAUGUACUGAGGUUGAGUCGUGACGGCCACAGGCUCCGAGUUUUGGCGUGAGGAACCGCUGAUCGGCCACGGGCGCCGAACUUGCUGGCCUCCGGCAUGUGCCUGAGCGGCGGCGGAAAAACCACCUUAAUUGGGGCGGAGGGUUAGUUUUAACAGCAAAGGGCCUUUACUAAAAUGGCGAAGGCCUUCCGUCGGCGUUGUUUUAAAAUGGGAAGCCUCGACCCUGUAUUGAAACUGAGCUGUUCGAAGGCGGCGUUGUGUGCAAUUCGGAUUAAUGAAGGGGAAGGGUUUUGUGUGGAAAAACGCCUUGGAGUGUGACAUUUCUGCGAGAAUGCUUAAAUACCGAUUUCCCGCAGGAACAAUGGCGCUGUCUUCAGUGGCACAGUGGAGCAGCUCUGAAGAUGCAAAGAUACACGAAAAAACUUCCAGAACAUCUGGGAGAAUAUUUAAUGGAAAAUCGCUUGGUUAAAACCUGACACUUUUAACAGUGAACAGCGUUCUGAGUGUGGACGAGUAGCCAGUGAAGAUAAUGAAUGUCGAAUGUGACUGACUAGCAGCUUCAUUUUGAAGUAGGUUGUAUGGCUUAAAAGUUCUGUAGUAUUUGUACUAUAAUACUUGCCUUUUAGCAUUACCUUGGUUUGUAGUCAGUGUCACAGAAGUGCAGUUUAAUGUAUUAUGUGUACAUAUACAAGGUCUGAUUGGUCUAAUCAAUGAUGAAACCUAUCCCGAAGCUGAUAACCUGAAGAAAAAUAAGUACGGAUUCGGCUUCUGAGAUUAAGACCAGUAAUUCAGAGGUGGAGUAAAUUUUGUUGCCGUGAUUUUAUAACAGUUGUGUUAUAAAAUCCUGGGUUUUUUUUUUUUCUGCCAACAGUGAGGGUCGCUGUCUGCCCAUUGAUAGAGGCCAGAUUGUCUUGGAAGUUCCAAAGUUGCAACGAUUUCUGGCUAGUGCCACGAGGUUUACUUGACUGUUGUGUGAAAAGCUGAUAAGAAAACCAUCCAGAAAAAAGCUCUUCGUUUUACAAACAUGAAAAUAAAACAUGUAAUUUUGGAUUAU